GAAGCAAAGUCAACAGGGUGCCGCGGCCGUCGAUCCAGCGCCGCGAGGACGCAAAGGUUAAAACUGGUACAAGAACUGCAUAUAGACCUGCCCUGCUGUUUGGCAAGUUCAUGCAGACUGCAAUGGGAAGGCAAAUCAGACUUCCACCUGUGAGAAGAGCUAAUGAAAGCAGCGCGUCUGGAGCCUACCCUGCCUGGGACAUGCAUUAGGGAGUCCUCUCCUGGAAGAUUUUGGACUCAUCAACUCAACAGACCUGUCAAUCUGCAAAGAAAUUAUGACCUCCCCCAGCAUCUCCUUCCUCUCAAAACAAAACAACCCCCCUCCACACCCAAAACAAAAGUAUUUUUUUCAAAUCUGACCCCCCAUAAACCUCCAAAAUCAUUGGGCCAGAUUCUCAGCUGAUACAAAUCAGCAUAGCUCCACUGAAGUCAAUGGAGGAUCUGUCUCUUUAUGUAAUUUUUUUAAGAAAAGAGACAAGUUUAUGAUCAGCAUUUCAAAACUGUGAAAGUUAUGCUUGCGUGACCUAAAUAGACCACUAGAGCCAUCAGAUUAAGCAUAGUCGUGCAAUUCAAAGUGCAGUAUUGCAUGGGUUUCUGAGUUUAGCUAAUUACAUUUUAUCAGCAUGUUUUAAAGCUCCCAUGUGGCUCCAGUUCAGCUGUACAUACAAUUUAUACAAUAGUUUUACUGUUCCACUGAGUGAGCUCUCUGGAUGUGACACUCUGUAGCUAAAAGUAGCACCCUGGAACCACCAUAUUCACCACUGUGAUAGGAUUCUGAUGUAUUAUGAUUACAAAAUAUGCCUUGUGAGGUAUUAUUUUCAAGUACUGAUUUGCUGAAUAAUAAUAUCCUGUUAGAUUAUAUAUACUAUCAUUGUAUUAUGAGGUAUUU
Long non-coding RNA from Trachemys scripta elegans, 888 nucleotides. RefSeq lists it as uncharacterized. The transcript is spliced from 3 exons. NCBI's taxonomy places the organism in Eukaryota, Metazoa, Chordata, Testudines, Emydidae. The record is from RefSeq and is a predicted model, not a curated record.